GAUGAACGCUAGCGGCAGGCUUAAUACAUGCAAGUCGAGGGGCAGCGGGGUAGCAAUACCUGCCGGCGACCGGCAAACGGGUGCGGAACACGUACACAACCUUCCUUUUGGUGGGGGAUAGCCCAGAGAAAUUUGGAUUAAUACCCCGUAGUAUUGUUGGGUGGCAUCACCUGAUAAUUAAAGAUUUAUUGCCAGAAGAUGGGUGUGCGUCUGAUUAGGUAGUUGGUAGAGGUAACGGCCACCAAGCCUACGAUCAGUAACUAGGUGUGAGAGCACGACCAGUCACACGGGCACUGAGAC
Molecule: ribosomal RNA, 300 nt
Filed under: uncultured bacterium
Lineage: Bacteria
Description: bacterial SSU rRNA
Rfam family: Bacterial small subunit ribosomal RNA
Source: RNAcentral